This 282-nucleotide ribosomal RNA is filed under the name Lacticaseibacillus paracasei. RNAcentral's name for it is "partial 23S ribosomal RNA". It matches the Rfam family "Bacterial large subunit ribosomal RNA", at positions 1 to 283 of the family's 2925-position model. The record is from RNAcentral. RNAcentral also lists the same sequence under 1 other name. Lineage: Bacteria; Bacillati; Bacillota; Bacilli; Lactobacillales; Lactobacillaceae.
GGUUAAGUUACAAAGGGCGCACGGUGGAUGCCUUGGCACUAGGAGCCGAUGAAGGACGGAACUAAUACCGAUAUGCUUCGGGGAGCUAUAAGUAAGCUUUGAUCCGGAGAUUUCCGAAUGGGGGAACCCAGUACACAUCAGUGUAUUGCUUGUCAGUGAAUACAUAGCUGGCCGGCGGCAGACGCGGGGAACUGAAACAUCUCAGUACCCGCAGGAAGAGAAAGAAAACUCGAUUCCCAUAGUAGCGGCGAGCGAAGUGGGAAGAGCCCAAACCGAGAAGCU